AGUGAACGCUGGCGGCAUGCUUUACACAUGCAAGUCGAACGGCAGCGCGGGCUUCGGCCUGGCGGAGAGUGGCGAACUGGCGGGUAAUAGAUCGGAACGUGCCCAGCUACUUGUGCGAGGGCGGCGAAAGCCGGAAAAAUACGCUAAUACACCAUAGGAUGUACGCGGGGGAUCAUCGGACCUUGCGCCAUUGGACGGGCCAAUGGCAGGAUGGCUGAUUAGCUAGUUGGAGGGGUAAAGGCCUACCAAGGCGACGAUCCGUAGCUGGUCUGAGAGGAUGACCAGCCACACUGGGACUGAGACACGGCCCAGACUCCUACGGGAGGCAGCAGUGGGGAAUUUUGGACAAUGGGCGAAAGCCUGAUCCAGCAAUGCCGCGUGUGUGAUGAAGGCCUUCGGGUUGUAAAGCACUUUUGUCGGGAAAGAAAAGCACUAGGCUAAUACCACGCUGUGAUGACGGUACCCAAAGAAUAAGCACCGGCUAACUACGUG
RNAcentral lists this ribosomal RNA (492 nucleotides) under uncultured bacterium. RNAcentral describes it as "partial 16S ribosomal RNA". It matches the Rfam family "Bacterial small subunit ribosomal RNA", at positions 29 to 507 of the family's 1533-position model. The record is from RNAcentral.